RNAcentral lists this small nucleolar RNA (69 nucleotides) under Tursiops truncatus (common bottlenose dolphin). RNAcentral describes it as "Small nucleolar RNA SNORD73 (ENSTTRG00000024385.1)". It matches the Rfam family "Small nucleolar RNA SNORD73". Rfam says of the family: U73 is a member of the C/D class of snoRNA which contain the C (UGAUGA) and D (CUGA) box motifs. U73 is encoded within the introns of ribosomal protein S3a and contains a 12nt region of complementarity to a conserved sequence in 28S ribosomal RNA. Lineage: Eukaryota; Metazoa; Chordata; Mammalia; Artiodactyla; Delphinidae. The record is from RNAcentral.
GAGGAAUGAUGACAAAAUGUUGCGGUCUCGUAUGAUAUGAUUAUUUUGUUACAUUUAUUUCUGAUACUC